GAAAUCCCUUAUUAAUUUUUUCCCUAAAUUUUACACAUUAAAACCCCUAAAAUUUCCCCCUAAAAUUUUCCCCUAAAAUCAGUAUCCCCAAAACACAUCUAAUUUUUCACCCAAAUCGAAAUCCUUCCACCAUUUCCAUGUCGCCAUACUGAUCCGUAAUCCUCAGCAUCUCUCUCACUGCAUUUCCUGUUUCUCUAAAUCUUCAUCCAUUUGAUUUUCGCCGAAAUCUAAAACUUCUAUUUUUUGACCGACGAUGGGAAAGAAAGGGAGUGGAUGGUUCUCGACGGUGAAUAAAGUGUUCAAAUCAUCUAGCAAAGACUUGCCAGACAAAAAAGUAACGUAUUUUUUCAUUGGUUUUUAGAAUUUUUUUUUUGCCUUUUGAUGUUUUUAGCAGGUUGAUUUGAUUGCCCUCUAGUUAAUGAAACAGGCACAGUAGCACCGCAAGGAAGAAAAGUAGAGAGUAAAAAAAGAAUCCAAUUCCUCAAGAAGAUGUCUUACAUUCCGAAGGAGUACAAAAGCUAGUUUCUACAAACAUGAAGGAGUUGCUAAGUAUUGCUGCAGAAGACAAGAGGCUCAUGUUUUGAAGGAGAAUGGGAACUUGUUGGAAUUGGUUGAUACAAGGAUUGGCUCAGAUUGCAACAUAGAUGAAGUACUGGUGGAUAUGAUCAACAUUGCACUAUUGCAAACUAUGAUUCUAUCAGAUAAAACAAGGGGUGAUGUAUAGGUACUGAAGCAGCACCAAGAAAGAACAUAUAUGUUCUUUUACAGGGAAACUGGACCUGGGAACAUGCAAAACUUAAAGCUAGAAUGCAGACUUUACAAAGAAACCUGAGGCAUUACGAAGGAGAAGAUACCUAGAAUUUGAGUCUUAGAGAGCUUCAAAAUUUGGAGCAACAACUUGAUUCUGUCUUUAAACGCAUAAGAUCCAAAAAGAAAUGUGAUGAAGAUGAUUAUAUUCUCACCUACCAGGACAAAGAAGGAGAAUGGCUGAUUGCAGGCGAUAUUCCAUGGCACUAUUGGUUUCAAUUAGAUGAGGCUAACAUCUCCAUCACCGGUGUAUAGAGGUAUCUUCGCCACGUUCCUCGUAGGUUCAAGACAGGUUUCAGGGAAGGUACUGAAGCAGCACCAAGAAAGAAGGUUGCAGCAGCUUCUGCUUAAAAGACAAAUUGUAAUGGUAUGAGGUUUUGUUUUGGAUGAAGCCAUGUUUAUGAGGAAACAUUUAGUGAUGAAGAGUGAAAUUAUAUUCCAUUGGAUGCUUUAGUUGUUAUUUAGUUUCUAUUUGAAUGUAGCUGUCUUACAUUUUGAACAUUUAUUGGAGCUAAUGUUUGACCCUUAA
Long non-coding RNA from Gossypium arboreum, 1336 nucleotides. RefSeq lists it as uncharacterized. The transcript is spliced from 9 exons. Lineage: Eukaryota; Viridiplantae; Streptophyta; Magnoliopsida; Malvales; Malvaceae. The record is from RefSeq and is a predicted model, not a curated record.